UUAUCACUGUAUGUAUAUGUAUAUACACUAAAUUUCUAAGCGUAGAUAUUCUAUUUUUUAAAUCCAUAAAUUGUUUUCAUGGGAACUAUAUUAUUGUGAGUGUUAUUUUCUAGUAUUAGUAAACUAAGUAAACAUUGAGCGUUUAUUUUCUACACACAUCUUAUUUCUUUUUUCUUUAUUUGAAACAUAAUACACUCGCUAUUGAAAACAUAUCUUUUCUGGGAAUUUGACAACUUAUUCGUGCACGCUUGACUUACCUGCGAGUCUUCCACUCCCCACUCCUCGUCAACCGAAAUUCGCCGGCUAACCCGCCGCGCGGGGUCUAGUUUAGUGUCGAAUAUCAGAGCGAUUAGGUGUGUUUCCGUGUCACUCUGUAACAGAUACAUAUUUCUCUUCCAUUACGUGGCAUUUUCGUAGUCAUUUCUUCAUCGCUUAAAACUACCCUAUUGUUAACUUCGUAUAAUUAAGACCAAUGAAUUGCUUGAUGGCGAAGAAAACUUCGAAAUAGUAGAGGGACUGUGAAAUUCAAGAGGUCGUCACGGUCCAUUAAUGAUGAAUUCAGGAAAAAUUUUUGUUAUCACGAAUAUUGUAAUACGAGUAUUACAAGUAAUCGUGUGAAUUACUUAUUGGAUCAUAAAAUCACGAAGUAUCGGAUCCUGUGGAAGGUUGUGCCUUUCUAAUGGAUUGAAACGGCCUAUAUGAAGUAUGAGACCCGUUGGAUUGUGCCGUACGAAAUAAAGGAACGGCUGGUCCAAUUUCAAUCUCGGUUUCUCUUCUGAUCUUUCUACAGUUCUCAUUCGUUCCUUGAACGAAACUGUACGAUAGUUUGCC
Long non-coding RNA from Bombus huntii, 831 nucleotides. RefSeq lists it as uncharacterized. The transcript has 3 exons. The record is from RefSeq and is a predicted model, not a curated record. Lineage: Eukaryota; Metazoa; Arthropoda; Insecta; Hymenoptera; Apidae.